Molecule: long non-coding RNA, 956 nt
Filed under: Bos indicus x Bos taurus (hybrid cattle)
Lineage: Eukaryota; Metazoa; Chordata; Mammalia; Artiodactyla; Bovidae
Description: lncRNA (ENSBIXG00005031222.1)
Source: RNAcentral
AGGACCUCUGCCACAGAGAAGUCCAGGAGCUGCACUGGAGCCAGCACCUCCCUCGUGGAUCCUGUUCCUGUGCGUAGGAAGCAGGCAGGAAAUACUUUUUUUUUUUUUAGGAAACAUUUUUUGAUGAAUCAAUAAAUUUGUGAAAGUUUGAGAAGCACCAGGCUAGGGAAAAAAAACACGUCAGCUACCCUAGACUGAUAGGAACAAGAAAAGUAGGGAGGUUAACCUUCCCCAUCCUCUCCAUCACUGGCUACCUACCCAUGACAGUCUAUUUCAGGACAAAGGGCAAUAAAGCCAGACCAGCCUUCUGAACCAGCCUGCCUUUCAGCAUCUGUGCUACAAAGAAUCUUCAGAUACGAAGAUCGGGAUACUUGCGGAGAUGAUUUCAACAAGGUUGUUUAUUCUUCAUUCAACGUGUGCGGGAUUCAGGAGAAUCAUUUGCAUUCUUACAAGAAGGUGCCACCCAGGGGAUUUCAUCACAGGGCCUCAGGGCAUGGACUGCAUAUGAUUUCUGUAUAUAUGAUGAGACUCAGCCUCAAAGUGGAUUCCAAGUAUUGGGCAAUCUCUCUUCAACCGCCUUCCCAAAUGGUACUUUUACUCUACUUUUUACCUGCAUUCAAUGGGCUACCCUUCCCCGUAUUCUCUAGGCGUGGCAUAUUCAUGAAAGGAAGGCAUCUCUUGGAAGUGACAGGAGAUAACAUUCCUGAAGAGUCUACUGACAGGUGCAACCUCAAAGUUCAUCUGAUUCCUGAAAAUAAUUCUUUGCUAGAAGCCAUUGAUGAAAAUGUUUCCACUGGUCAUCUGGAGUCAGAGGUGAUUCUGGGUGGUGGGUCUGAGGUCGGAGGCAUCUAAACUUUUUUUUUUUUUUGCUUUUAGGUAUUUAGACAAUACGUUGUUACUUGAUUCAGGUUGGAGAAGUCAGGCCUCCUGAGAAGAUAAAGCCCAGGACACUUGGC